This 72-nucleotide transfer RNA is filed under the name Nephila pilipes (giant wood spider). RNAcentral's name for it is "tRNA-Tyr". It matches the Rfam family "tRNA". From Rfam's summary of the family: Transfer RNA (tRNA) molecules are approximately 80 nucleotides in length. Their secondary structure includes four short double-helical elements and three loops (D, anti-codon, and T loops). Further hydrogen bonds mediate the characteristic L-shaped molecular structure. tRNAs have two regions of fundamental functional importance: the anti-codon, which is responsible for specific mRNA codon recognition, and the 3' end, to which the tRNAs corresponding amino acid is attached (by aminoacyl-tRNA synthetases). tRNAs cope with the degeneracy of the genetic code in two manners: having more than one tRNA (with a specific anti-codon) for a particular amino acid; and 'wobble' base-pairing, i.e. permitting non-standard base-pairing at the 3rd anti-codon position. Lineage: Eukaryota; Metazoa; Arthropoda; Arachnida; Araneae; Nephilidae. The record is from RNAcentral.
CCCGUCGAUAGCUCAGUUGGCAGGCGGUGGACUGUAGAUCCAUAGGUCGCUGGUUCAACUCGGCUCAUGGGA